Molecule: ribosomal RNA, 410 nt
Filed under: uncultured bacterium
Lineage: Bacteria
Description: bacterial SSU rRNA
Rfam family: Bacterial small subunit ribosomal RNA
Source: RNAcentral
AAUGGGGGCAACCCUGAUCCAGCCAUGCCGCGUGCAGGAUGAAGGCCUUCGGGUUGUAAACUGCUUUUGUACGGAACGAAAAGACUCUGGUUAAUACCUGGGGUCCAUGACGGUACCGUAAGAAUAAGCACCGGCUAACUACGUGCCAGCAGCCGCGGUAAUACGUAGGGUGCAAGCGUUAAUCGGAAUUACUGGGCGUAAAGCGUGCGCAGGCGGUGAUGUAAGACAGAGGUGAAAUCCCCGGGCUCAACCUGGGAACUGCCUUUGUGACUGCAUCGCUGGAGUGCGGCAGAGGGGGAUGGAAUUCCGCGUGUAGCAGUGAAAUGCGUAGAUAUGCGGAGGAACACCGAUGGCGAAGGCAAUCCCCUGGGCCUGCACUGACGCUCAUGCACGAAAGCGUGGGGAGCAAA